AGGGGUAUAGCUCAGUGGCACAGCACCUGCCUGGUAAAUGUGAGGUCCCAAGUUCAAUUCCUUGUACCCCCC
RNAcentral lists this transfer RNA (72 nucleotides) under Cavia porcellus (domestic guinea pig). It matches the Rfam family "tRNA". From Rfam's summary of the family: Transfer RNA (tRNA) molecules are approximately 80 nucleotides in length. Lineage: Eukaryota; Metazoa; Chordata; Mammalia; Rodentia; Caviidae. The record is from Rfam by way of RNAcentral.